RNAcentral lists this ribosomal RNA (460 nucleotides) under uncultured bacterium. Its description in RNAcentral is "partial 16S ribosomal RNA". It matches the Rfam family "Bacterial small subunit ribosomal RNA", at positions 338 to 795 of the family's 1533-position model. The record is from RNAcentral.
CCUACGGGAGGCAGCAGUGAGGAAUAUUGGUCAAUGGACGAGAGUCUGAACCAGCCAAGUAGCGUGAAGGAUGACUGCCCUAUGGGUUGUAAACUUCUUUUAUAUGGGAAUAAAACGUUCCACGUGUGGGAUUUUGUAUGUACCAUAUGAAUAAGGAUCGGCUAACUCCGUGCCAGCAGCCGCGGUAAUACGGAGGAUCCGAGCGUUAUCCGGAUUUAUUGGGUUUAAAGGGAGCGUAGGUGGAUUGUUAAGGCAGUUGUGAAAGUUUGCGGCUUAACCGUAAAAUUGCAGUUGAAACUGGCAGUCUUGAGUACAGUAGAGGUGGGCGGAAUUCGUGGUGUAGCGGUGAAAUGCUUAGAUAUCACGAAGAACUCCGAUUGCGAAGGCAGUUCACUGGACUGCAACUGACACUGAGGCUCGAAAGUGUGGGUAUCAAACAGGAUUAGAUACCCUAGUAGUC